RNAcentral lists this unclassified non-coding RNA (382 nucleotides) under soil metagenome. Its description in RNAcentral is "partial contains 5.8S ribosomal RNA, internal transcribed spacer 2, and large subunit ribosomal RNA". The stretch from base 1 to 120 matches the Rfam family "5.8S ribosomal RNA", at positions 35 to 154 of the family's 154-position model. The record is from RNAcentral.
GAUGAAGAACGUAGCGAAAUGCGAUAAGUAAUGUGAAUUGCAGAAUUCAGUGAAUCAUCGAAUCUUUGAACGCACCUUGCACCCUUUGGUAUUCUGAAGGGUAUGCUCGUUUGAGUGUCAUUGUACUCUCACACUCCCGAUCUUGAGUUGGGAGCGGUGGACUUGGGUGUUGCUGCCUUUCCUUGUGGCUCACCUCAAAUGUGUCAGUGCACCUCUUGGUUGGACAUAGUACGGCGUGAUAAGUGUCUUCGCCGGCACCUCGCAAGAGGGUGGCCGAUCGGGAGCUCUGUGCUUUCAAACCGUCUUCGGACAAUUUCUGACAACUUGACCUCAAAUCGAGUAGGACUACCCGCUGAACUUAAGCAUAUCAAUAAGCGGAGGA